RNAcentral lists this ribosomal RNA (253 nucleotides) under uncultured bacterium. RNAcentral describes it as "partial 16S ribosomal RNA". It matches the Rfam family "Bacterial small subunit ribosomal RNA", at positions 524 to 776 of the family's 1533-position model. The record is from RNAcentral.
UACGAAGGGGGCUAGCGUUGCUCGGAAUCACUGGGCGUAAAGGGCGCGUAGGCGGCCUCUUAAGUCGAACGUGAAAUCCCCGGGCUCAACCCGGGAACUGCGUCCGAUACUGGGGGGCUUGAAUCCGGGAGAGGGAUGUGGAAUUCCAGGUGUAGCGGUGAAAUGCGUAGAUAUCUGGAGGAACACCGGUGGCGAAGGCGGCAUCCUGGACCGGUAUUGACGCUGAGGCGCGAAAGCCAGGGGAGCAAACGGG